GGGGUACUCAGAAGGUAAACAAUGGGAAAAUUCUGGAAGGGUAUUCAGAAUGUCAGACAUGAACUUAAUUGGGGGGUGGUGUUCCAGGUAAACAAUAUAAUGGGAGAAGUGUGCUCUUUUGGCAUGAUAUCUGGCUAACUGCCACUUCCCUCAAAAUAGCUUUUCCCAAAGUAUACGACUGUCAAAACAGGCUGCAGACUGGGACUGCUAUGCAAAGGAAAAUCUGGAAAGGAAA
RNAcentral lists this long non-coding RNA (235 nucleotides) under Setaria viridis. RNAcentral describes it as "long non-coding RNA (SVIR_LNC009652)". Lineage: Eukaryota; Viridiplantae; Streptophyta; Magnoliopsida; Poales; Poaceae. The record is from RNAcentral.